UGCAAGGUCGCUGAGGCAGUGCUGUGCCCUAU
This 32-nucleotide non-coding RNA is filed under the name Homo sapiens (human). Lineage: Eukaryota; Metazoa; Chordata; Mammalia; Primates; Hominidae. The record is from RNAcentral.